AAGAGCUGCAUCGUACUAACACCCAGUACAGAAGGCUCAGGAUGGUAUAAUCAGUCACCAACAGGCGACUAGGAGAUUAGCCACACCCUGACUAGAGACACAGACAGAAAACAGACCAGGGAUUAUCUCUGGUACCAGCCUAGAGUGACUGCCAGAACGGAACACGUGUGUGCACAAAGUAUGAGUGUGCUAACAUUUAUCUCCAGGGGAAGGUGUGACCAAACACAAAAACCGUAAAGGAGCUAGUAACUUGGAAGACAAUUGGAACUCCAGAGAGGAUGGGAGGGGACCCAAGUUCUCUGGAUAUAACUUGAUAAUGCAGCCAGGAUGGCCUCCAAUCCUACGGUCCUCCUGCCUCUACCUCCUGAGUGCCCCCGAGACCUGCAUAUAUCAUCGUGAGAUGAAACAACUGGGUAAGGUUGGUGCUGCCUGCCUCCGAGAACCAACUGUCAUGAGUGGAAGACACAGUAAAGAUUCACUGAGGUCCAAAAGCCACCCUGGAGUCCUAGAGGUCUGCUCCUACAGUCUGGACUCAAACUUCCCAAGCCCUGGUGACUGUAAUGGUUAAGGCAUGAAGGCUGCCAGCUAUAGUGACCAUCCUGUAAUCCUCAAUUGUCCUCGAAAGAUGACUUCCAGUGAAAAGAGCCAGAACUGCCUUGAAAUAUGGUUCAUGUCAGCCGCAGGGUGAGAAGUGUUUAUGAGGGGGGCUCAAACAUCUUGUCCUACUGUGAGCAGGCUGAGAAGUCAAGGCUGAGGCAUCUACAGCCCAGAGGCAGGACUAUAAUCGCAUACAUAGGUCAUAAACCCAUGAUCACAAUUUGUUCCCGGGGCUCCUGAUGACACAGUACUAAUACACACAGCAGAGCAGGCA
Long non-coding RNA from Myodes glareolus (Bank vole), 871 nucleotides. RefSeq lists it as uncharacterized. NCBI's taxonomy places the organism in Eukaryota, Metazoa, Chordata, Mammalia, Rodentia, Cricetidae. The record is from RefSeq and is a predicted model, not a curated record.